GAGUUUGAUCGUGGCUCAGAUUGAACGCUGGCGGCAGGCCUAACACAUGCAAGUCGAGCGGAUGACGGGAGCUUGCUCCUUGAUUCAGCGGCGGACGGGUGAGUAAUGCCUAGGAAUCUGCCUGGUAGUGGGGGACAACGUUUCGAAAGGAACGCUAAUACCGCAUACGUCCUACGGGAGAAAGCAGGGGACCUUCGGGCCUUGCGCUAUCAGAUGAGCCUAGGUCGGAUUAGCUAGUUGGUGGGGUAAUGGCUCACCAAGGCGACGAUCCGUAACUGGUCUGAGAGGAUGAUCAGUCACACUGGAACUGAGACACGGUCCAGACUCCUACGGGAGGCAGCAGUGGGGAAUAUUGGACAAUGGGGGCAACCCUGAUCCAGCCAUGCCGCGUGAGUGAAGAAGGCCUCGG
Molecule: ribosomal RNA, 409 nt
Filed under: bacterium enrichment culture clone ALO1_GLFRUDD03GJ8NY
Lineage: Bacteria
Description: bacterial SSU rRNA
Rfam family: Bacterial small subunit ribosomal RNA
Source: RNAcentral